RNAcentral lists this unclassified non-coding RNA (197 nucleotides) under plant metagenome. Its description in RNAcentral is "partial contains small subunit ribosomal RNA, internal transcribed spacer 1, and 5.8S ribosomal RNA". The record is from RNAcentral.
UCUCCGUUGGUGAACCAGUGGAGUGAUCAUUACCGAGUUUACAACUCCCAAACCCCUGUGAACAUACCUAUCGUUGCCUCGGCGGUGCCCGCUCCGGCGGCCCGCCAGAGGACCCCCAAACUCUUGUUUUAUACAGUAUCUUCUGAGUAACACGAUUAAAUACAUCAAAACUUUCAACAACGGAUCUCUUGGUUCUG